This 480-nucleotide ribosomal RNA is filed under the name uncultured bacterium. Its description in RNAcentral is "bacterial SSU rRNA". It matches the Rfam family "Bacterial small subunit ribosomal RNA", at positions 28 to 494 of the family's 1533-position model. The record is from RNAcentral.
GAUGAACGCUAGCUACAGGCUUAACACAUGCAAGUCGAGGGGCAUCAGUUUGGUUUGCUUGCAAACCAAAGCUGGCGACCGGCGCACGGGUGAGUAACACGUAUCCAACCUGCCUCAUACUCGGGGAUAGCCUUUCGAAAGAAAGAUUAAUAUCCGAUAGCAUAUAUUUCCCGCAUGGGUUUUAUAUUAAAGAAAUUCGGUAUGAGAUGGGGAUGCGUUCCAUUAGUUUGUUGGGGGGGGUAACGGCCCACCAAGACUACGAUGGAUAGGGGUUCUGAGAGGAAGGUCCCCCACAUUGGAACUGAGACACGGUCCAAACUCCUACGGGAGCAGCAGUGAGGAAUAUUGGUCAAUGGACGCGAGUCUGAACCAGCCAAGUAGCGUGAAGGAUGACUGCCCUAUGGGGUUGUAAAACUUCUUUUAUAUGGGAAUAAAGUUGUCCACGUGUGGAUUUUUGUAUGUACCAUAUGAAUAAGGAUC